CCUACGGGUGGCUGCAGUGGGGAAUAUUGGACAAUGGGGGCAACCCUGAUCCAGCCAUGCCGCGUGUGUGAAGAAGGCCCUCGGGUUGUAAAGCACUUUCAGUGAGGAAGAACGCCUGGUGGUUAAUACCCAUCAGGAAAGACAUCACUCACAGAAGAAGCACCGGCUAACUCCGUGCCAGCAGCCGCGGUAAUACGGAGGGUGCGAGCGUUAAUCGGAAUUACUGGGCGUAAAGCGCGCGUAGGUGGCUUGAUAGCCGGUUGUGAAAGCCCCGGGCUCAACCCUGGGAACGGCAUCCGGAACUGUCAAGCUAGAGUGCAGGAGAGGAAGGUAGAAUUCCCGGUGUAGCGGUGAAAUGCGUAGAGAUCGGGAGGAAUACCAGUGGCGAAGGCGGCCUUCUGGACUGACACUGACACUGAGGUGCGAAAGCGUGGGUAGCAAACAGGAUUAGAUACCCCAGUAGUC
RNAcentral lists this ribosomal RNA (465 nucleotides) under Vreelandella stevensii. Its description in RNAcentral is "partial 16S ribosomal RNA". It matches the Rfam family "Bacterial small subunit ribosomal RNA", at positions 338 to 795 of the family's 1533-position model. The record is from RNAcentral. Lineage: Bacteria; Pseudomonadati; Pseudomonadota; Gammaproteobacteria; Oceanospirillales; Halomonadaceae.